Alligator mississippiensis (American alligator) is the source of this 5899-nucleotide long non-coding RNA. RefSeq lists it as uncharacterized. The record is from RefSeq and is a predicted model, not a curated record. Lineage: Eukaryota; Metazoa; Chordata; Crocodylia; Alligatoridae. The transcript has 3 exons.
CUGGCUGCAGUUACCAGUGCCUGGCAACUAGGGCUGUGUGAAGCUUUGGGUGUUGAUUUGAUUCAGAGGAUAUUCGAUGCAAUUUGCCAGCCUAAUCGCCGAAUCUGAAUUGAAUCAGGAGACCAAUUAAAAGGUCCAAAUCGAUUCAAAGCUCUCUGAAUCAAUUCAGAAAUGAUUCAGAGAAGUUCGGCAAUUUGGGCAGUCCUGCUUGCUGCCGCAGGGACCUAGACCCGGACUCUGUGCUAAAUCCUUUAUAAUAUAUUAAAAAUAAAGAGUGUGAAGUUAAAGGAGGAGCUGACUUUCUAGCAGUCUACCCUGCCAAGUUCUGCCAUUAGCUUUCACAUGGAGCUGUUCACAGCUGCCUUGAAGAUGGGAUCCUACCAGUCAGUUACCAAGAAGCAGUUCUCAUGUCUGCCCAAGAAAGGAUAUCUUGGUAACAUUAAGAACUGGAAACUGAUAUUUUGCAGUUGUGUGCACUGACUACAAAAUCUUAACCAGAACUUUGGCAAACCAGCUCGAAAUGGUCAGCCCACCAGGCUGGGUCCUGUGUGCAUGGAACCAACCUGGCCCAAUGGCGCGCGGGGCCUGUGCAUGCAGGACCUGGCUAGCUAUGACAGGCAGUCCCAAUGAGCAGUGUGGGGUCCCGUGUGCCAGGAUGAGCAUCCCAGAGCUGCCCAAAGGUGCACAACGCUGCGUCAAGCUGGGCCAGGCCCACAUGACAUGGCACAGGCAGCGUCGGGUGCCAGAUAGCCAGGGCUGAGCUGCACUGCCAGACGCUGCCCCACACCACGCAGUGGGGGCUGUUCCAGGAGGCCCUGAGCACCCUGAUGGCUGCUGCUGCUGGUGAGCUGUAGGCUGUGCAGGGGGAGGGGGCUGGGUCUGGGACUGUGCAGGGGGGCAUGUGGGCCCUACAGGCAGUGGACCCAUCCCUCCUGAGCUGCUCCCCCACAGUCUCCCACACCCUCACAGGCCCCCUCCCCACUUCUUCAGCCCCCCCAGCCCCUUACUUACCUGGAACGGAGCUCGGGUCCAGGUCACUGCAGCCUGCAUCACUGUUGUCCAGCAUGGGUAGGCAACAUGCCGCAGUAUCGAGGCAAGGGGCAGGCAUGGAGAUGCUCUGGCCAGCUAUCAAAGCAUCUCUGUGGAAGACCUGAGUCUCUGGUUACCUCAAGGCAUGAUCCUGAACCUUGCUCCGUUUUUUUUCUGGGGUUGUUUGUUUGUUUUUUGAUACCUAAUUUUGAACCCACUGAAAAAUCAAAUCAAAAUUAAAUCAAAAUCUAAUAUGCAGUAUGGAGAAGGUUGUUUUGUUCCCAGUUUGCCUCUUGCCACAUCUCAAACUGCUUUGAGAUGUGGCAAGAGGCACGUGCAGGCUCAUCUGGAUGUGCCCUGGGAGCCCAUUUGUUUUUGAUAUUUUUAUAAAGUUUUGAAAGUCCAUCUGUCCACCUGUCUAUAUGUCCUUCCUUCCUCCCUCCUUGUUCAAGCUUUCAGUGCAAAUAUAGCUAUUCCCUGGAAAUGUCACAAACUGAUACUUGGAAUAUCUGAUAUUAUUGUAAGCAAAUCUUACUUGAGUCCUAAUCCAAAGUGCACAAAAGUCAACAGAAGGACUGUAGUGACUUCAAUAGAUGCAGGAUUAAGUAUGUUAACAGCAGUACUAAUGGACUUUGAUGAGUGCUUUUCUUGAGGGCUGAAUAAACCCACAUUCAGCCCAUAUUAUCUGUCAAAAAGCCACUUUCUAAUUGUCAAUGAGUACUAACUUGCACAGUAAGAUAGGGAACUAGCAAUUUCUCUCUUUGAUCUAGGUUCACAUUUUGUUUCUUGACAUGGGAAUCAAGAAUCAGGUCAGCUGUGUCGUUCUGGGGAAUAUUUUUCCCCAUCCACAAAAUGUCAGCUCAGCCUGGAUCAGCAAUCUUUGCUUCAAUGAUGUCUAAGAUCAGAACAGCAGCUGUGUGCGACAUCCAGAUUGGCCAUGCUUGUAAGAGAAAUCUUUUCUUGACCACAUCAUUUCAGGCAUUUGCCAGUUCUGGUAAGGUCCUGGUUUUCUUGAGUGUGCAGUUUACACAAAUGUUAACACUGUCACUUUAUCAUUUAGCAGCAUUUGCAAACAUGAUGUUCUACAAUGCCUUCAGUGAUCACAUCUGUUACCAAAAUAUCAUUCACACAGCCAGCCAUGCAAAGAAAGCAUUUUUAUAUUGAAUUUCUGACAACCCAAUCAUGUUUUUGAACAUUUUCCAAGCUUGGAACCAAACUUAGCUGCACAACCAGCCUUCUGUUUGUCAUUUCUACAGUGCCAGAAGUUGUUUCAUAUCAACUACGCUAUCUGACGUGUGACAUGUGGAGUUUCUGGACAUUCCCCUAAGUUUUACAUUUGAGGCAUUAGAAGACAAUAGAAUCCUUGGGGAACAGGGAGAUUUUUUUUUUAAGCAGAGUGGAAUUUCUCCUUUUCCUGACUUGUCCCAAGCAGCAGAAUUUCCAGCCCCAAGAAGCCUAGCUUUGUACCAGACAGGAAAAUGUAGUAGACCAUUGCUUUAUAUCUCCACUCCAGGCCAAGAACUCACAGUAGUGAGACAUCCCAGGCCAGCAGCAGAACUGGACAUGCCACUUAAUAUCAAUUUCCUCAUUCUCAUGAGUUAAAAACCCUGCAUCAACUCUGGCCUGUCAUUUUGUGUGAAAAGGUAUCCCGGUUGGCUUGAGAGGUAGGUCAGCAACUAAAGGAUCAUUUCUUUAGGAUUUUCUUAAUUUUCUUGUCCCAGAUAUAUAUAAAAAAACCCCAAACCAGAACAAACAAAAAGGCUAACAUAUGUAUGGCCAUGCAUAGACCUCUUGCAACCUGUGGCCACAAAUCUUGCCACGUAGCCAACCAGCCCUGCCCAAUGUUUUCUUUUUACUUUUUAGAAAUAUUGAUCUAAUCUAUCUUGUCUUUUAUAUAUCUAUGAUUAUUUUAUUUACAGUUCAGCUAGGCAAACUUUGCAGCAUCUCAUUAUCACAUGUUAUUAUGCACCAUACAUCAUUUAAUAUCCUAUGGUCUUACAUUGCAUAUUUGUUUUCAAGUCAGAUGCAGAGGGACACAAAAUUAAGUCAGUAAGUCAGACCUGCUCCUUUUGCUUCAUUUAAAUAUUAGGAUGAAGUAGGAGAAACACUUAAGAAUUUUAAUUAAUUGUUACGUAGAGGCACCAUAAAAGUAAUAAGCACAUACAAAAAACUAAGGCAAUUUCCUUUGUACGCCCAAAGGAAAUUUGCCAACUAAAUUUUGGACAGUCAAAGAACAUGUGAAAAUUCAGAAGGAUACAAAGAAAAAGGACUUUUCCAAAGUCAAUAUGCAUUUCAGUUCAGGACAUAUGAAAUAAUAGUUAGUGAUUUAUUGUCAGUUCGAUUUAUGACAUGAGCAAGGUACUGCCAAAAUCCCAGUUCCUAAAACUCUGGGGUUUCUAUUUUGCUGCUUCACAGUUCAAAGGAGAGUAGCUCAAAAGAACUGCUAUGGUGCCUGAAGGGACUUAGUGUAAGGGAAACCAGGAGAUAGCUGGCAGUAAUCUGCUUUGAAAAAGUAAAUGUAGCUUGGCAGGAAAUGCCUGGAAAAUGUGAAGUAAGGAAAAAGGGAAGGAGAGUGAAAGCCAAAGCUGUGUUUAUGAAACCAAGCCUAAAUUAUGGUAUUAUUAAGUCUCUUCCAAACUAAAUGGACAACACACAGAGAGAAAAUGUUUCCAAAUAAACUCUCUGUUCUGUUACUGACUUUCUUUCCUGAGUCACUUACUACUUGGAGCUACAUGAUCACCUGCUGUAUUAAAUAUAAUUCUACACUGUAAUUUAGGCUUAUGGUUACAUUCAUUCUCAGAUUUAUAGCUGCUUUCUAUAAGAAGGAAUUGCAAUUAAAAUCUAUUUAAAUAUGUGAAGGCGAAAUGGGAUUAUAGGAUCACAGAAAUAAAAAGAAGAGUAUCUGAUUUCUGAUUGUCCUAGCCAGUUUACAGAACGCACUUUAUAAAAUAGCUUAAUGUGGCAACUAAAUUAUUUGUUUCAUGGUAAUUUUAGAAUAUCAAAGUUGAGCUGUAGGAAACCAAAGUAGAUGUAUAAAUAAUAAUACUCUGUGACCCCUCAUCAGGAAAUAAUUUCUGAACUCUUAAGUAAAGCACUGCUUAAAUAGUGCCCUGAAUAUGGGUGGGUUUAUUUAUGCUCAUCUGCUUUCCUGAAUCAGCACCUAUAACAUAUAGAGUUAAGAGAAAUCAUUAAGCCCCUUUUUCAUGAAUGUUUUCCAGCCUGCCCAGCUAUAAUAAAAAUUAUUAAUUUCUGAUACACCAAAAGAAAAUGUUGAAAGGGAACUUCUUGUUUUGCAACAUGACUUUCUCAAAGCCUACUGAGAUAUUCAGCAAGCUUAAGGCAUGUUUAUGUCCACGUAAGUUAGGGCAAUGGAGUUCAUUAAGAAGUGACAAAAUUUGAAAUGAAAAUAAUUGUUUUGACAGUAACAGAUCAGGAACCUAAAUUCAUGAACAACAACAACAACAAAAAGAUGGAGCACUUCACGAAAAGUUAACACCCAACAUAGAUUUAGCCAAGGUUCAGUCUGAGUUGAAAAUGUGGUAUUUGCAUGGUAGGUCAUGAAAACUGACAGAGGCUUCAGAAGUAGUGCAGUAAUAAAGUCUGCAUGUCUUUUAACUGCUAUAAAGCAGUUUUUUCUAGUUUGCAGGCCACCAAGAUUGGUUCAAAGUCCUUCAGAAGAAGCCUUGAAUGUUUUAUCCCUUUUCUCUUGCUGAAGUGGAAGGCGUCUCUUAUCUUCUGCUUGGAUUUACAUUCACUCAUGUCCUUCUUACAACAUUAUUUGGCAAUGAGUUAUUACAAGAUCUUAUUCCAAAUGCAUGGUUUUUUUCCCUGGCGCUCUCAACAAACUCAAUGCCAGAGAGCAGAUGGUAGUGUUUAGCUGCCUCCUGCACCUGCAUGGAUGAGAAUGUGUUGAAAGCCCUCAUCUGUAUGUUAAGUAGAACAGAGCAAUACUAGAUGACCUUGUGGUUAACAAACACUGUUUAAUCUACACUAGCACUUACAACGGUGCUACUGUUGAAGGUGAACAGUAGGAACUAAACUGACUGUAAAGAAGAAAGCUAGAAUAUGCUAUGGCAGCAUCAGCAGAAGAUGGAUAGCAGCAUAAGGAGCGUAUAAAUGAAUGGAUUGUGUUGAACUACUAUUUUGUGUCACCAAACAGUUUUAUAACUGAUUCCUGUAAUGAUCAAAAGGAAACAUAUUUUGUGAUGCAUUUGGCGUCUGCAUUCAUACACGUAAUUGUUCAGCCCAUAUCUGGGUGUGGCGGUACUCCUAUAUGGUUUUGAACUUUUUAAUUAAAAUAGAUUAGAGAAACUAGACUGCCUAAUCCCUAACCAUUUCUUCCUAUUCCAUUAGGCAGGACUUUCCAAGAUGUAAAAUGUUAAUCUAUUUCAGGAGGAGAAGGUGUGGAAGGAGGAAAGUGUUGAAGUAAUGUGUGGCAUUCUCAAAGGUUGAGUUUUCUGGAGUAGACAGAAGGCACAAACAGUAGUGAGCUGGAAAGCAAAGGAAGUGAGAGACCAUACUUUGAAAAUAGUUGGAGGGGGAAGUUAAAAGCAGAAUUUAAGUACAGCAGGCAUGAAGACCGAAAGAAAGAUUGAGAAGGUCAGAGAGGUGAAAGAUAAGAGAAUAUUCUCUGAAAGAGGAGAGGGAUCACUUAGAACCUAGAAAGGGCUGAAAAUUAUUGCUAGAAAAUUCAACACAGCAAAAUCCAUGCAGGAAAUUACAUUUAUUAGAAAUCUUUAGUCUUUUAGACAUGCCAUAAGACACAAAUCAAACACUACAGUUAAGGGAGCAAUUCUCUUCUCAUUACUCUAGUGCAGUGGUUCUCAAUAUUUGUAGACUCAAGGUACCCCUUGGAAAACUCCAGCUCUGG